GAUGAAGAACGUAGCGAAAUGCGAUAAGUAAUGUGAAUUGCAGAAUUCAGUGAAUCAUCGAAUCUUUGAACGCACAUUGUGCCCCCUGGUAUUCCGGGGGGCAUGCCUGUCCGAGCGUCAUUACAACCCUCAAGCUCAGCUUGGUGUUGGGCCCCGCCGCCCCGGCGGGCCCUAAAGUCGGUGGCGGUGCCGUCCGGCUCCGAGCGUAGUAAUUCUUCUCGCUCUGGAGGUCCGGUCGUGUGCUCGCCAGCAACCCCCAAUUUUUUUCAGGUUGACCUCGGAUCAGGUAGGGAUACCCGCUGAACUUAAGCAUAUCAAUAAGCGGAGGA
RNAcentral lists this unclassified non-coding RNA (329 nucleotides) under soil metagenome. Its description in RNAcentral is "partial contains 5.8S ribosomal RNA, internal transcribed spacer 2, and large subunit ribosomal RNA". The stretch from base 1 to 120 matches the Rfam family "5.8S ribosomal RNA", at positions 35 to 154 of the family's 154-position model. The record is from RNAcentral.